RNAcentral lists this ribosomal RNA (465 nucleotides) under uncultured bacterium. Its description in RNAcentral is "partial 16S ribosomal RNA". It matches the Rfam family "Bacterial small subunit ribosomal RNA", at positions 28 to 507 of the family's 1533-position model. The record is from RNAcentral.
GACGAACGCUGGCGGCGUGCUUAACACAUGCAAGUCGUACGGUAAGGCCCUUUCGGGGGUACACGAGUGGCGAACGGGUGAGUAACACGUGAGUAACCUGCCCACAACUUUGGGAUAACGCUAGGAAACUGGUGCUAAUACUGGAUAUGUGCUCCUGCUGCAUGGUGGGGGUUGGAAAGCUCCGGCGGUUGUGGAUGGACUCGCGGCCUAUCAGCUUGUUGGUGGGGUAGUGGCCUACCAAGGCGGCGACGGGUAGCCGGCCUGAGAGGGUGACCGGCCACAUUGGGACUGAGAUACGGCCCAGACUCCUACGGGAGGCAGCAGUGGGGAAUAUUGAACAAUGGGCGCAAGCCUGAUGCAGCAACGCCGCGUGCGGGAUGAAGGCCUUCGGGUUGUAAACCGCUUUCAGCAGGGACGAAGCUUUUUGUGACGGUACCUGCAGAAGAAGCACCGGCUAACUACGUG